UUUCUGUGAUGAGACCAUUCUCGAUCGAUAAAUGCGAUAGGAGCCUAUGUGUUUCACGGGCAGCCGGCCAAUAGGGGAAGGUUGUGAAUCCGGCGAACCGACCGCUUUAAGAACGUGAUUGUCUUCUCUCACUCAGUUAUCAAUUGACAAAGAUGACCCAUUCUUUUUCGCCCUAAAAACGACAAUGGUAUGGUACUUUUUCUUCAAAUCGAGAUUGUGUGGGUGUCCGCUCAUGUUCACGUUACAUGCUAAAUCAGGCUUUCCUUGGAAAAACCAAGGACAACCCCUAUCUCAGUCUCCUUUCCUUUCUCUUUUCGGGAGCAGAGCUGAAAAAGAUGGACAGUAACGAUCGCGUAAUAUCAAUUUAUCGGCCUCGUCAUCGAAAGCACAAUCCCUUUCUCUUCCUAUACCGAAAUCGUCGUUUCAUUCCUCCGCAACUUCUAUCGCGGACAUGAUCCAAUCUACCUUGCAAGACAGAUUAAGAUAUAACUUAAGGCUUUCCCAAGCUGGCGCAUAACCUCUGGUAGAGGCAUUCACCCAGAGACAGAGAAGUGGGAAACCGCGGAUGAAAAGAAUACCGAGGUCUUUGAUAGCAAACUUCUACGCGAGCUUUCUAACUAAAAGGAAUCUCUUAUUCAUAUGGCAUAAAAUGGAAAAACUUGAUGGAGAUUUCUUCUCAAUUUCCAUGGUACAGUCCCUUUGCAUGCUACAGUUCCAUUACUUACUACCUGAAUUUGCUAUAUACGAAAUUCUGACAUCUACGGUACUUGUCGUCUACUUCUGGUGGAAGCAAUUCCAAAGGUGAAGAUAAUACUGAGCCGAAUAGUAAUGAGGGGAAUGCAAAAUCUAGCAAAGGUAAGAAGGGUCAAGGAAGAAUAGCAGUGACUUAUAAAAGGAAAGCACCGAAUAAAAGGAAGGAGAUCCGUCUUGAUUUUUUGCAUGUGGUCAAUGCGUUUGCUGAUUGAUAACUGUCUAAUCUUAAGAUGGUUUUGUGGCACGUUACAAACAUACAUAUACAGUCGAAAUAUAGUUGUGUUGAGUUAGGUUGAAGAAUUUUUACCAGAUUUUAAAAAUGAGAUAUAGUGCUUUCUUUGUUCGGUAGGAUAUUUUGCACUUUCAUAUUCUAGUUCCUCAUUUGAGCGUUCUUUUGCUCUGUUGGUGGGGCAUAAACUCAGAAAUAGUUUUUGUUUUUUCUUUAAAUAAUAGUAAAAGUAUGCAUUCAAGUAGUAGCUUUUUCUAAAUAGUCGAGUAAAGUCGAGUAGGGCUGGCAACAAGGACUAGGAAGAUACGGGCUAGUUUGUUUUUUUAGGGGAAGGCUUUAUGCAAGAUAUGCACGUGAGUAGGUCAGUAUAUGCGUAUUUGCCAAUAGAGGAAAACACGUAGUAAGUAGGCUUGCUUUUUCGUAGGGAUAGGUAGCUUGACAAGGGAUGCCUGGGAUAGCACAUAGGAAAAGUAUAGAAGGAAAGGCGGCGGGAAAGUAGCCAUGGUCAAGGUAAACAAGUACUAGGUCUUUUCUUUCCGAAGCAAGUCAAGGACAACUAGGUCAGUCUGGGGGGGGGGGGCAAUCCUCUAGAUCGAGACUUCUCUUCCACAGACUAAACCGAUUAAUAAACAAUUUACAGAGUAUUCUUGCAUUCCUAUCUGGUCUGCAUCUCUCCUAUCGAAACUAUAAUAUAACCUUAAUGGAAGGGCCCUGGUUCUGCCUUGCCAAACCGACAAAUCCAUAAAUUGUAGAUGAAUUCAUCGGGCUUAACGUGUGAUUUCGUUAUAAGUGAACAGGCGUCGUCGUCCAGCCGUGUCGAGUUGGGAUUAGAGGAGAGAGCUCGAAUGGAUAGGUCCAGUGAGGCGGGUGUGGAGCACGAAGGAUUAAGAAGAUCCUCUUUAUUUCCGGAAUCAACAAGAAAGACUUAGCAGCCCAAAUAAAGUAACCCUUUACCCCUCCCGAGUCUAUCGUAUCCAUAGUUUCAGUGGGUAUCGAACUGCGAAGCAAGGAAGCUAUUUCAAUUGAACGGGCUUACUUUCUUACUUGGUUCUUUUGUAGAACAACCUUGGUAUGAAGCUAGACGAUUCAAACUAUAUAAGCAUAAGCAAUUCAAACUAGACAUUUCGACCUUCAUCCCACCCGAUAAAUAAUAAGCAAAGAGCUCGUAAGUCGGGCAUAGAGAAAGCGACUCCUGAGAUUGAGGGGGA
Molecule: long non-coding RNA, 2190 nt
Filed under: Triticum aestivum (bread wheat)
Lineage: Eukaryota; Viridiplantae; Streptophyta; Magnoliopsida; Poales; Poaceae
Description: long non-coding RNA (TAES_LNC007757)
Source: RNAcentral